This 466-nucleotide ribosomal RNA is filed under the name uncultured bacterium. Its description in RNAcentral is "bacterial SSU rRNA". It matches the Rfam family "Bacterial small subunit ribosomal RNA", at positions 28 to 479 of the family's 1533-position model. The record is from RNAcentral.
AACGAACGCUGGCGGCGGGGCUUAGGCAUGCAAGUCGCGCGAGAAAGCCGCAAGGCAAGUACAGCGGCGUAAGGGUGAGUAAUAGGUAGUCAACGUACCCAUUUGACGCGGAUAAUUCUCCGAAAGGGGUUGUAAUACGCGAUGAGACCACGGGCCCUUUGGGGUUUGGGUCGAAAGGUCGGGGAUCCUUCGGGACCUGGCGCGGAUGGAGCGGACGACCUCCGAUUAGCUAGUUGGCGGGGUAACGGCCCACCAAGGCGAUGAUCGGUAGCCGGCCUGAGAGGGUGUUCGGCCACACUGGGACUGAGACACUGCCCAGACUCCUACGGGAGGCUGCAGUCGCGAAUCAUUCACAAUGGGCGCAAGCCUGAUGAUGCCACGCCGCGUGCGGAUGAAGCCCUUUGGGUGUAAACCGCUGUNAAGAGGGGGAACCGUAUGGAGUUAACAGCUCCAUACCUGACUGCCC